UCCCUGGUAGUAUAUCGGUUAGUACACGCGCCUGUCACCCUUGCGGAUCGCGCGAAAGCGGGGUUCGACUCCCCGCCAGGGAG
Molecule: non-coding RNA, 83 nt
Organism: Earliella scabrosa
Lineage: Eukaryota; Fungi; Basidiomycota; Agaricomycetes; Polyporales; Polyporaceae
Source: the annotation of a GenBank genome assembly